GUGAGGAAUAUUGGUCAAUGGACGGAAGUCUGAACCAGCCAAGUAGCGUGCAGGAUGACGGCCCUAUGGGUUGUAAACUGCUUUUAUGCGGGGGUAAAGUGAGUGACGUGUCAUUCAUUGCAAGUACCGCAAGAAUAAGGACCGGCUAAUUCCGUGCCAGCAGCCGCGGUAAUACGGAAGGUCCUGGUGUUAUCCGGAUUUAUUGGGUUUAAAGGGAGCGUAGGCCGUCAGGCAAGCGUGUUGUGAAAUGUCGUGGCUCAACCAUGGACUUGCAGCGCGAACUGCCCGACUUGAGUGCGCAGAAAGCAGGCGGAAUUUGUGGUGUAGCGGUGAAAUGCUUAGAUAUCACGAAGAACCCCGAUUGCGAAGGCAGCCUGCUGUAGCGCUACUGACGCUGAAGCUCGAAAGUGCGGGUAUCGAACAGGAUUAGAAACCCUUGUAGUCC
RNAcentral lists this ribosomal RNA (445 nucleotides) under uncultured bacterium. Its description in RNAcentral is "partial 16S ribosomal RNA". It matches the Rfam family "Bacterial small subunit ribosomal RNA", at positions 354 to 796 of the family's 1533-position model. The record is from RNAcentral.